GAGGUGUGGGCGGUGUCUGCAAUUGAACCUAAGGUCCCUGGGAAACUCAACAGCUACUCGCUGCCGUGUCCUGGCUCCCCACCCAAGCAAUGCACUGACAGGGACUGGAUGAAUGCUUUGGUUGGCAGCCACCGGUAUGGUUUCAAGUUCCCACCUGCUGUCAUUUUGUCCUACCUGUUUGUCCAGGUGAAUGCUGUCUACCUUAGAAGGACAUGUAUUCCUCUGAGAAACGUUGGACAGCAGAUUUGGGUGUAGUGCCUGAUCGGGACCACGUACAAAGACAUCUCCAGUCAUGGUUUGUUGCAGAAUGUGUGAGGGACCACCUAACACUCUUGGUGUGCUUGCAAACUAUAAAGCAGUAAUGGAACCUUGGAAGAGAUAAGUUUACUCUAUGAGGACUGAAGCUGUUGUUAAUUCCCAAAGCCAGACUGGUUAUCUAACAAAGGAUUCAAACCAGGAUGUAGCAAUCAAACUUGCCCAGGAGCGAGCUGAAAUAGUUGCUAAAUAUGACAGAGGACGAGAAGGUGCAGAGAUUGAACCUUGGGAAGAUGCUGAUUACCUUGUUUACAAAGUCACGGAUAGAUUUGGCUUCUUACACGAAGAGGAGCUCCCAUAUCAUAAUGCAGCUAUGGAACGGCAAAAGCACCUGGAAAUUGAAAGAACUACUAAAUGGUUGAAAAUGUUAAAAGGAUGGGAAAAAUACAAGAACACUGAAAAGUUUCAUAGGAGAAUUUACAAAGGAAUCCCACUCCAGCUCAGAGGGGAAGUCUGGGCCCUCCUCCUGGAGAUCCCGAAAAUGAAGGAAGAAACCAGAGACCUAUAUAGUAAAUUAAAACACAGAGCACGGGGUUGUUCACCUGAUAUCAGACAAAUAGACCUUGAUGUCAACCGCACAUUUAGGGACCAUAUCAUGUUUAGAGACAGAUACGGUGUGAAGCAGCAAUCCCUGUUCCACGUUCUUGCUGCAUAUUCUAUCUACAAUACAGAAGUUGGAUACUGUCAGGGGAUGAGCCAGAUCACAGCCUUACUCCUCAUGUAUAUGAAUGAAGAAGACGCCUUCUGGGCCCUGGUCAAACUGUUCUCAGGCCCCAAACAUGCCAUGCAUGGAUUUUUUGUCCAUGGUUUUCCCAAACUCUUGAGGUUUCAAGAACAUCAUGAAAAAAUACUGAAUAAAUUUUUGUCCAAGCUUAAGCAGCACUUGGAUUCUCAAGAAAUCUACACAAGUUUUUACACAAUGAAAUGGUUUUUUCAAUGUUUCCUUGAUCGGACUCCCUUUACACUAAACCUCAGAAUAUGGGACAUCUAUAUCUUUGAAGGAGAACGAAUUCUUACUGCUAUGUCUUACACAAUCUUAAAAUUACACAGAAAACAUCUUAUGAAAUUGUCUAUGGAAGAACUUGUGGAAUUUCUUCAGGAGACCUUGGCAAAGGAUUUUUUCUUCGAAGACGACUUUGUAAUAGAGCAGCUCCAGAUUUCUAUGGUAGAACUAAAGCGGGCAAAGUUAGACCUUCCAGAACCUGGUAAAGAGGAUGAAUUUCCAAAGAAACCUUUGGGACAACUUCCCCCUGAAUCUCAAUCAGCUGGCGUCAGUCACCUGAGCAACGGACAGAGAAGUGUGGGCAGGUCAAGUCCGCAUCUGGACGGCAGGAGAGAGAGCGGCUCGUCACCUUACAAAGCCCACGAGCAUUCCCCUCCCCAUCAAAGUAGAACAGGUACCCCCGAGAGGGUGCGGCAGCUGCGGCGGAAGUCGGUGGACGAGGAGAGUAAAAAGCUUAAAGAUGAGGUGGAUUUUCAAAGGAGACUUCCAUCGGGUCCACAGGACAAUUCCAGGCAGUAUAACCACGCAGCCGCUAACCAGAAUAGCAACGCCACUUCACACAUCAGGAAGGAGUUUGUGCCCAAAUGGAAUAAGCCGUCAGAUAUCUCAGCUAUUGAGAAAACUGCCAAGUAUGUCAUUGAAGGCCGAAGUCGGGCUGCACACCCCACGCCGAGAGUCACCGUCCCCGGUUCCGCUGAUCCGUGGGCCCCCAGCGUCAGGCAGAAGGUGAAGGUGCUGGAUGCGGACGAAGGGAAGCGUGGCUCCACAGCCUCGCAGUAUGACAAUGUACCCGGGGAUGGAGCCAGUGCGGCCCUGGAGCAGGCGCUGGAGAGGGCGCGCUCCCAGAGCCCCAGGGGCGCGGCCUACCCUCACAGCCCAAGGAGGCACGCUGAGCCCAGCUCCAGUCCAUCCAGAGCCCCAAACACGUUUACAUUUAAAUUACAGCCUCCGAGUUAUGCAAAAUAUCCAUCCCAGUUAGACGGGGAGGAUCGAGGGGCAGCACACCCCCCAUCUUACAGUGACCCCCCCACUUACCAGGGCAGUUCUCCAAAGCGCAUCCCUGCUGCUAACAGCAGCUUUGUGUCUCCACCGUUUCCCCACGGGACACCAGUGAAUCCUUCCCGGAGACCUUACGGUUCUACUCUUUCGACUGAUGUUUCUCCAGAGAAAUCUUACAGCCGCCCAACUCCUCUGGUCCAGCCGUCCAGUCGAAUAGAAGUUCUCCCUGUUGAUAUUGGUGCUGCAGGAUAUUCGGGCAAUUCAGGGUCACCAAAGAAAGGGAAAUUCCUCCUUCCUCCAGUGGAAUGUUUGCCAGAUAAUAACGGAAAAUGGUCGGAAGUUGGUUACGCAUUGAGACCGGAGAUGCACGGACAGUCGUGGACUCGUGAUGCCAACCGUAGCCACUUAAGCAGUUUACCCAAAUACCCCACCUUUCAACACGUCCCCUAUCAGGACCACACCCUCCCUGCAGUUUCAGUAGAUAGUCCGGUGCGGUAUCGAACUUCCCCAGCUCUGGAAGAUGCCAGUUCAUCUGGGUAUCAGUAUUCAGGGCCCUCGCCUCCAGUAUAUCACUACAGGAAUCGGGAUGGACUCUCUAUCCAGGAAUCAGUAUUGCUGUGAGAAUUGAUCUGUACUUGCUGCAAACGAGAGAAUAGAAACCAUAUGAAACCUACAUUGCUAUGUUGAUAAUUGCCAAAGCAGUAUUUUAUAGAGUUGUGAACAACUCGCACAAUUCUCGUGUAUGUCAGUGAUAAGAAUACAUGGGAGUGAUUUCAUCCCCACCUAGAUGCUGCUUAAGAUGAGCUUUUAACUUGCAUCAUCACUGAACCUGUUAAAAAGAAUUUAACCUGGAAACAUAGCAAUAGUAUUUAGGGAUGCACGCACAGUUUCAUUUAUAUCUUUCUCCAAAAUCUGAAUAUUUGUACUCUGUUAGUCCAUUCUAUUUUGAGUAAUGAUACAAAGCACUGAAAAACUGUAGAAUAGAUAUUUUUAAGGCUAUGUGUAGUGUACGUGUCUUUUAAUAGAUACUAUAUGCAUCUACGCAUACACGUUUGAACACAGAACUAAAGAAAUGUUAAAAAAAAAACAACAACUACUUUUCAUCUAGAUCCUGGGAAUAAUUUAUUCUACUUCUUUUCCCUACCUUGUCUUUUGGUCAUGUUUUUUUUCCCCCUUAUAUUUUUUACCCAGGUCCUAAACUGAGUUGAGGGUUUGCCCUGGCUUAAUUCAGCAUCUCACGGAAUGCUCAGCUUUCUCGUUCAAUGGCUCAUUCAGUUUUCAAUCUGAAGAUUAAAGACAUUGGAGAGAAAGGCUAGCCACUUAAUGGUGCUUAAAAUCGGGGCAGUUUAAUUUUAUGACCAAAGGUGCAGUGCGCAAUGUAUCCGUGUUCACCAAGAGAUCAGCUUUCGUGCGUCUGUGCCCUUUUUUUCUGGUCUGACCCUCGCAAAGCUCAGAGCAGAGUGUUCCUUGCCAGAUGCCCAGGAAGUGUACACACAGCCCUCCGGCGGAUGCCAGCAGGAGAAGCUGCAAGUUACUGAUCAUCAAGCACUCACACGGGGCAGCAGAACAAAUUCCUUUACAUUCAUUUGAAAGCAAGAUUAACAAUAUGGUUACUUCUUACUUCUGCCCCUUAAAUUACUGUGGAGUCUCCCCGCAAAGGGCCCCGGGGUGGCAUUUACAUGAUCUUUUCCUGGCCCUCUUCUUUAAAGAAUGUAGUCAGUGAAUAUUGCUGCUCGUAGGCUGUUAAAUUAUCGCUGUGUAAAAUUGUAAAAAAUGAUCCUAAUUAUUACUAGGAACCUCAGAUUUUGGUGGGUUUUUUGUUGUUUUUUUUUAAAUAGCGUGACUUUCAUACUUUCAAAAAUCUUUUUUUUUGUUGUUUGUUUCAGUGAAAAAUUCAGGUUCAUGGUAACAAAUCAGCAAUGUCUUUCAAAAUCUUCUGUUACACUACAAUGACCAAAACACUGACCAAGUUUUGGGCACUCUAAGAAAGUAUGCCUUCGGGUUUCACUGGAGAGCUUGUUUUCAACAUUACUUUGAUCCUAUUUGAACAAUAGGGAAUAGAAAACCUAACAUUGAUGGUUCUUCUUGUUGCAAGUUGGGGCUGUAAGCUUUCAAGGUUCUCCACCCAGGCCCUGUAGAUUGGACUGACAAAGGACAGACCAACGGGAGAAAAGCAACUGGAAGGUCAUUAACACGUGCGUCCUGCAUUCACGUGGUAUCCGGUGAUCAGUCACUCAAAGGGAGGGUUAGCUUGGGGUCUCUCCACCCAACCUAGUCAAGGCAGGGGUGAGGGUGGUAAGGGGGAGAAAGGGCACUUACGGAAAAGCAGGUGACUUUCUGGAAAAUAAAUGGGCCUUAAGAGAGCAGGUGGGAGACAUGAUUGUCUGUGACGGGGUCUGGUGGGGCGCCAGAAGAGGAGAUUAUAGAGUUGCCCCAGGAGGGGAUUUAGGAGAGUUGCGUUCUUUGGGGGUGCGGGGGGGUGGCACUCUGCUUUUAGGCAGAUAAGGGAUUCCAGAAACUCAAAUGCCUUCAGCUCAAAAAUCGUUUUUAUUGCCCAGUGGCAUAUUUUGGGGUAACAGAUCCCGAUACCCUUCACUGUCAAUGACAGAAUGUUUCUCAAAAGAAGGAAGAGAGAUUCAGGUAAUGGGGCAUUUCCGGAGAAGAAAAAUGGUUGUUUACAGGAUGUGAUGUGAUUGUUUGAACUUUUUUUCAUUUUAAGAAGAUUCUUAUACUAAAUUUAUGUCAUACCCAGUGUCACUUUAACAUGGAGUUUUAUAUUUGUUGUCAUUUCAGAUCUCUCCCUCAGGGCUCGUUAUACUAUAAGCACAAAAAUGACGCCUAGUCAAUACUUUGCUAAGAUCCCUUUUCUUUUCAUUUUCAUGAUUAGAGAAAAGCAUUCCAUCUCCACAAGUAGGGAUUUAUUCACAGAGGAUCUACAGCUUAAUCUUCUGGAAAUACUAUUCUCAGUUAUCUUUUAUUUAUUUAUUUAUUAGCAUCUUUAUUGGAGUAUAAUUGCUUUACAGUGGUGUGUUAGUUUCUGCUGUAUAACAAAGUGAAUCAGCUAUACGUAUACAUCCCC
Delphinapterus leucas (beluga whale) is the source of this 5396-nucleotide non-coding RNA. The record is from RefSeq and is a predicted model, not a curated record. Lineage: Eukaryota; Metazoa; Chordata; Mammalia; Artiodactyla; Monodontidae.